CAAAACGUAGCUUAACUCAUUAAAGCACCUUGCUUACACCAAGAAAAUAUCUGUUAGAGCCAGAUCGUUAUGA
This 73-nucleotide transfer RNA is filed under the name Ololygon sp. KAV19. Its description in RNAcentral is "tRNA-Val". It matches the Rfam family "tRNA". From Rfam's summary of the family: Transfer RNA (tRNA) molecules are approximately 80 nucleotides in length. The record is from RNAcentral. Lineage: Eukaryota; Metazoa; Chordata; Amphibia; Anura; Hylidae.